RNAcentral lists this long non-coding RNA (234 nucleotides) under Rosa chinensis. RNAcentral's name for it is "sRNA RchiOBHm_Chr4g0404271". Lineage: Eukaryota; Viridiplantae; Streptophyta; Magnoliopsida; Rosales; Rosaceae. The record is from RNAcentral.
CCAGAAGUGAUCAUAUUAGAUCCUGUAUGAGUAGAUAGAUCCUUGUCACCACCAAGAUCUUAACUACAUAGAAAAUACAAGUAUGGUGGUACAUAAGAAACCAUUGGAUUGAAAACAGACAUGCGAUAAUAAAUGCAUAUCACACUAGUAGGAAGCUAACAUUAACAAAGAUAUCGACAAUAUGUGUCUAAUGCCCUGGUUUAUGUUGGUUUUCUAACCAACUGCUCAAUAUUA